UCCCUUGUGGCUCAGCUGGUAAAGAAUCUGUCUGCAAUGCAGGAGACCCAGGUUCAAUCCCUGGGUUGGGAA
Molecule: transfer RNA, 72 nt
Filed under: Bos taurus (domestic cattle)
Lineage: Eukaryota; Metazoa; Chordata; Mammalia; Artiodactyla; Bovidae
Rfam family: tRNA
About the family: Transfer RNA (tRNA) molecules are approximately 80 nucleotides in length. Their secondary structure includes four short double-helical elements and three loops (D, anti-codon, and T loops).
Source: Rfam by way of RNAcentral